UCUUGGGCCUGGAAUUUGGCCUCCACUGUUCUUUAGUGGAAGAAAGAAAACGAAACAAAACAAACAAAAAUGACUGAGCAUUAUAGACUCUUGAGCCUGCCACAAAUUAUUUCUGAGUAGCCGGAAGGGAGAGUAAAAGGGCUAGCUUAUGUGUGUGGACAUAAGGAUGGGUUUGGCCUAGGUAGGAAUCAAGUCAAUGAUGCUAUGCUAAUUGGUCCUGUUUUCUUGGGGACCUACUGGUUAGGGCCUCUAAGUUCUUAUAUUGGGGACAGACUAUUAUCAUGCAGUAUUGAUUGGUCUAGAAUUAGCUCUGUAAAUCAAAUUGACCUCAAGCUCAGGGUGAAUCUCCUGCCUCUGCCAUCUGAAUUCUGAGUUACAAACUGUCCUAGAUAGGCUUUCUUGUGCUAUAACAAAAUAUCAUAAUCAAAACACAAGUGGGGGUGAAUGGCUUUAUUCAGCUUACACCUCCACAUUGCUGAUCAUCACCAAAGGAAGACAGGACAGGAACUCAAACGGGACAGGAACUUGGAAGCAGGAGUGGACCAGAGGCCAUGGGGGAGUGCUGCUUACUGGCUGCUCCUCGUGGUCAGCCUUCCUUGUAGAACCCAAGACCAGCAGCUCAGGGUUGACACCACCCUCUAUGGGCUGGGCCCUCCAGAACUGGUCACUAAUUGAGGUCCUUACACCUGGGUCUCUUGGAGGCAUUUCCUUAAGUAAGACUCCUUUCUUUCUGGUGACUCUAGCUGGUGUCAAGUUGACACAAAACCAGGCAUACCACCACACUAAGCUUUUGGGGUGUUAGGGAGUGAGGGGUGGGAUACAGAGUGUGCUCCUAAGGUCUCGGUCAUGCAGGAAAAUGCCUAAGCACUGAACCAGCCCUUACCUCCACUGGCUAAGGUAGUCGCUGCUUCUGAUAAUGAGUGGUGGAACCUUCCCUGGUGCCUUGAGUUUUGUUUACAUCUGCUGUGAGCGCCGAAUGUUGGGCUGCUGGGUUUCAGGUGGAAGAGUCUGGUGAGCACGUGAUCCUGGGCACUGGGGAGCUCUACCUGGACUGCGUGAUGCACGACCUUCGGAAGAUGUACUCCGAGAUCGACAUCAAGGUACCCUUCCCCUUAGCCAGCUCCAGAGGGAUGUCCUGCACAGGCAAAACCCUCACCCCUGGAUGGCCACUAGAGACCCUUCUGUGGAAAGGGCUUUCGGGGCUUCAUCGGGAAGGUUCUAGAGACCGGUUUGCCCGACUCACUGAGUCAUUUUCAGUGUCAUAUUUAAAUCCAGGCUCCCAAGCCGUAGUCAUUCUUGUCCCUUCAUUAGGAAAAGAACUAUUCUGUCUGGUGAUUGGCUCAGAGCGGAUGUGUCACAGAGAGUGGGAGUGGUUCUCAGGCCUAUCACCAAGUCUUGACCUAGCACCUGAGCCAUGCAUGGCAAAGCAUCCUCUCCACGGCCUCUGCUGCCGUGCGGCCGC
This 1462-nucleotide long non-coding RNA is filed under the name Rattus norvegicus (Norway rat). RNAcentral's name for it is "long non-coding RNA NONRATT006107". The record is from RNAcentral. Lineage: Eukaryota; Metazoa; Chordata; Mammalia; Rodentia; Muridae.